This 301-nucleotide ribosomal RNA is filed under the name uncultured bacterium. Its description in RNAcentral is "partial 16S ribosomal RNA". It matches the Rfam family "Bacterial small subunit ribosomal RNA", at positions 509 to 808 of the family's 1533-position model. The record is from RNAcentral.
CAGCAGCCGCGGUAAAACGUAGGGGGCAAGCGUUAUCCGGAAUUAUUGGGCGUAAAGAGUGCGUAGGUGGUCUACUAAGCGCGAGGUGAAAGGCAAUGGCUCAACCAUUGUUAGCCUUGCGAACUGGCAGACUUGAGUGCAAGAGAGGAAAGCGGAAUUCCUAGUGUAGCGGUGAAAUGCGCAGAUAUUAGGAGGAACACCGGCGGCGAAGGCGGCUUUCUGGAUUGUAACUGACACUGAGGCACGAAAGCGUGGGUAGCAAACAGGAUUAGAUACCCCGGUAGUCCCUGUCUCUUAUACA